CACUAGGGAAUCUUCGGCAAUGGACGAAAGUCUGACCGAGCAACGCCGCGUGAGUGAAGAAGGUUUUCGGAUCGUAAAACUCUGUUGGUAGAGAAGAACGUUGGUGAGAGUGGAAAGCUCAUCAAGUGACGGUAACUACCCAGAAAGGGACGGCUAACUACGUGCCAG
Molecule: ribosomal RNA, 168 nt
Filed under: uncultured bacterium
Lineage: Bacteria
Description: partial 16S rRNA
Rfam family: Bacterial small subunit ribosomal RNA
Source: RNAcentral